Molecule: long non-coding RNA, 405 nt
Filed under: Nicotiana benthamiana
Lineage: Eukaryota; Viridiplantae; Streptophyta; Magnoliopsida; Solanales; Solanaceae
Description: long non-coding RNA (NBEN_LNC010995)
Source: RNAcentral
UAUCAAAGAGAUCUAUCUAUAUAAUAUUUCAACAUUCCUAACAGAAACUUAUUUCAUUUCUCUUAUAAAUUACAGGGCGUAGAAAAGGAAAAUAAGAAAUGAAACAAAUACUACCAUUUGUUUAGAUAUUUUCAAGAUUUCUAUUUCUUAGCUUUUCCUGAUAGAAUGGUGGUGAUGAUGAUGUGAAGAGGCUUUUGACAGCACAGAAAUGAUGGAAUGGAAAGCAUUUGCUGCAAUUCUUGAUUUUAUUUGACCCCUUCUUGGUAAAGGCUUUGUACCCCUAAAACCUUCAAUUGCUGCUUCAGAAGCUCUAUCAAUCUUGUGAUUCAUGAUUUUGAAGCUAAAAUAAUUUAGUGGAGUAUGACUGAAAAUGUUGCAAGUUCUGAAUUGGGAUAAGUUGUUAUG